GAUGAAGAACGUAGCGAAAUGCGAUAAGUAAUGUGAAUUGCAGAAUUCAGUGAAUCAUCGAAUCUUUGAACGCACAUUGCGCCCCCUGGUAUUCCGGGGGGCAUGCCUGUUCGAGCGUCAUUUCAACCCUCAAGCUCUGCUUGGUAUUGAGUCCAUGUCAGUAAUGGCAGGCUCCAAAAUCAGUGGCGGCGCCGCUGGGUCCUGAACGUAGUAAUAUCUCUCGUUACAGGUGCUCGGCGUGCUUCUGCCAAAACCCCAAUUUUUCUAUGGUUGACCUCGGAUCAGGUAGGGAUACCCGCUGAACUUAAGCAUAUCAAUAAGCGGAGGA
RNAcentral lists this unclassified non-coding RNA (328 nucleotides) under soil metagenome. RNAcentral's name for it is "partial contains 5.8S ribosomal RNA, internal transcribed spacer 2, and large subunit ribosomal RNA". The stretch from base 1 to 120 matches the Rfam family "5.8S ribosomal RNA", at positions 35 to 154 of the family's 154-position model. The record is from RNAcentral.